AAAUGAAUAGACGGGGACCCGCACAAGCAGCGGAGCAUGUGGUUUAAUUCGACGCAACGCGAAGAACCUUACCAAGACUUGACAUCGAGUGCAAGCUGUGGAAACACAGUCCUCCUUCGGGACACGAAGACAGGUGGUGCAUGGUUGUCGUCAGCUCGUGUCGUGAGAUGUUCGGUUAAGUCCGGCAACGAGCGCAACCCUUACAGUAUGUUGCCACCAUUUAGUUGGGCUACUCAUACUGGACUGCCGCGGAUAACGCGGAGGAAGGCGGGGAUGAUGUCAAAUCAUCAUGCCCCUUACGUCUUGGGCUACACACGUGCUACAAUGGGCGCUACAAAGAGCCGCAAGCUGGUAACAGCAAGCAAAUCUCAAAAAAGCGUUCUCAGUUCAGAUUGAGGGCUGCAACCCGCCCUCAUGAAGCAGGAGUUGCUAGUAAUCCCGAAUCAGCACGUCGGGGUGAAUGCGUUCCCGGGUCUUGUACACACCGCCCGU
RNAcentral lists this ribosomal RNA (492 nucleotides) under uncultured bacterium. RNAcentral describes it as "bacterial SSU rRNA". It matches the Rfam family "Bacterial small subunit ribosomal RNA", at positions 903 to 1397 of the family's 1533-position model. The record is from RNAcentral.